This 340-nucleotide ribosomal RNA is filed under the name Niallia circulans. Its description in RNAcentral is "bacterial SSU rRNA". It matches the Rfam family "Bacterial small subunit ribosomal RNA", at positions 96 to 429 of the family's 1533-position model. The record is from RNAcentral. Lineage: Bacteria; Bacillati; Bacillota; Bacilli; Caryophanales; Bacillaceae.
CGGCGGACGGGUGAGUAACACGUGGGCAACCUGCCUGUAAGACUGGGAUAACUUCGGGAAACCGGAGCUAAUACCGGAUAAUCCCUUUCCUCACAUGAGGAAAGGCUGAAAGACGGUUUCGGCUGUCACUUACAGAUGGGCCCGCGGCGCAUUAGCUAGUUGGUGAGGUAACGGCUCACCAAGGCCACGAUGCGUAGCCGACCUGAGAGGGUGAUCGGCCACACUGGGACUGAGACACGGCCCAGACUCCUACGGGAGGCAGCAGUAGGGAAUCUUCCGCAAUGGACGAAAGUCUGACGGAGCAACGCCGCGUGAGUGAUGAAGGUUUUCGGAUCGUAAA